This 797-nucleotide ribosomal RNA is filed under the name marine metagenome. RNAcentral's name for it is "bacterial SSU rRNA". It matches the Rfam family "Bacterial small subunit ribosomal RNA", at positions 91 to 925 of the family's 1533-position model. The record is from RNAcentral.
UUUAGUGGCGAACGGGUGCGUAAUACGUGAGAAUCUGCCCUUAGGAGGAGGAUAACUGCUGGAAACGGCUGCUAACACUCCAUAUGUCGAGAGAUGAAAUAAUUUAUUGCCUAAGGAUGAGCUCGCGCCUGAUUAGCUAGUUGGUGAGGUAAUGGCUCACCAAGGCCACGAUCAGUAGCUGGUUUGAGAGAACGAUCAGCCACACUGGGACUGAGACACGGCCCAGACUCCUCCGGGAGGCAGCAGUGAGGAAUUUUCCGCAAUGGGCGAAAGCCUGACGGAGCAAUACCGCGUGAGGGAUGAAGGAUUUUGGUCUGUAAACCUCUUUUCUCAAGAAAGAAGUUCUGACGGUACUUGAGGAAUAAGCAUCGGCUAACUCCGUGCCAGCAGCCGCGGUAAUACGGGGGAUGCAAGCGUUAUCCGGAAUCAUUGGGCGUAAAGCGCCUGUAGGUUGUUUAAUAAGUCUGUUGUUAAAGACUAGGGCUUAACCCUAGAAAAGCAAUGGAAACUACUAGACUAGAGUAUGGCAGGGGUAGAGGGAAUUUCUAGUGUAGCGGUGAAAUGCGUAGAUAUUAGGAAGAACACCGGUGGCGAAAGCGCUCUACUGGACCAUUACUGACACUCAGAGGCGAAAGCUAGGGUAGCAAAAGGGAUUAGAUACCCCUGUAGUCCUAGCCGUAAACGAUGGAUACUAGAUGUUGUGCUUAUAGUACAGUGUCCUAGCUAACGCGUUAAGUAUCCCGCCUGGGGAGUACGCUCGCAAGGGUGAAACUCAAAGGAAUUGACGGGGGCCCGCA